CGGGAUUAAGGAAAACCCCGAGAAGGGCGCACCUGUCUGCUCCCUUCCCCCCGGCCUGCUCUCCUGGUGUUUCCAUGGAGGUGGCUUUAACGGCUUAAGCAGAAAAUAGAGCUAAUUGGCUGAGGCUCCGGGAACUGGCACGGUGCGGGACGACACACUCUGUCCAUAAAUCAACCGUGGACUGCUGAUUGCUAUUAGUAGUACAGCUCACGUACUACGGCAAGAUGAAGGCUUUGCCAAAGACAUUUUUGUUCACCCUGUCACUGUAGCUGAGCACCCCAUCACAGAGACAUGUCACUGUCGGAAGACGUUAGGGUUUUUUUUUCCCCCUUAAAAAAUUCAUCUUGUAAAUUGCUUGAUAACAUGCUGACUGGACUGGCCAUGGCUUCCACCAGUGCUCGAGGCUUCAGCUCAACUUCCCACCCUCCGACGUUGAAUGGCAGGGAAUUGACAAAGUUAAAUUAUGCUUUAGAACCCAGAAUUUAUCCAGCAUGCUUCUGUUGCACCAAAAUUUUAUUUUGCUAAGAUACAACAUCUGGUGUCCUUAUUUAAAUACAUGGUUAAUCAUAGGAACUAAUUCAGUCUUUUAGGCUAUGGUGGAGGAGAGGGAGAAGAAAAGGGAGCAUUACUAUAGGUUUAGACAUGUAGUCAAAUACCUUGGAAUGGGGGGCAAGGCAGGCCAGGUGGUGAGAGUCCAACGACAAAAAUUUUUUAAAAACUACGUUAGACACUUUUCAGUAUUUUCAGUGCAAGCAAUCAGUCAUGUAUUCACUUUCCUUGGAGCGUCUUUGAUUUCUUAAUGUUUAAAUAUUGUAUCUCAAAUUAUGCUGCUUUUAGAGAAUACAAACGUUAUCGUUACCUAAAUGAAAAAAUGUCCCUGCCUCAAAUUUACUUGUUGUAGCGAAGAAACACUUUGAAAUCAGGUUUAGAAAAGUAUAGUUUCAGCUGGGCGUGAGCCACCGUGCCCAGCUGAUUAGUUUGUAUUUUCUAGAGUUUUUAUAUAAAUUG
RNAcentral lists this long non-coding RNA (1008 nucleotides) under Homo sapiens (human). RNAcentral describes it as "HSALNT0078895". Lineage: Eukaryota; Metazoa; Chordata; Mammalia; Primates; Hominidae. The record is from RNAcentral.